CCUACGGGAGGCAGCAGUGGGGAAUAUUGCGCAAUGGGCGAAAGCCUGACGCAGCAACGCCGCGUGCGGGAUGAAGGCCUUCGGGUUGUAAACCGCUUUCAGCAGGGACGAAGGGUUUCUGACGGUACCUGCAGAAGAAGCACCGGCUAACUACGUGCCAGCAGCCGCGGUGAUACGUAGGGUGCGAGCGUUGUACGGAAUUAUUGGGCGUAAAGAGCUUGUAGGCGGUCUGUUGCGUCGGAAGUGAAAACUCAGGGCUUAACCCUGAGCCUGCUUUCGAUACGGGCAGGCUUGAGGAAUGUAGGGGAGAAUGGAAUUCCUGGUGGAGCGGUGGAAUGCGCAGAUAUCAGGAGGAACACCAGUGGCGAAGGCGGUUCUCUGGACAUUUCCUGACGCUGAGAAGCGAAAGCGUGGGGAGCAAACAGGCUUAGAUACCCUGGUAGUCCACGCCGUAAACGGUGGGCACUAGGUGUGGGGUCCUUCCACGGACUCCGUGCCGCAGCUAACGCAUUAAGUGCCCCGCCUGGGGAGUACGGCCGCAAGGCUAAAACUCAAANAGAUAGACGCGUGAGACGNGCCGACGACGACGACGAGGGAGUAGG
Molecule: ribosomal RNA, 602 nt
Filed under: uncultured bacterium
Lineage: Bacteria
Description: bacterial SSU rRNA
Rfam family: Bacterial small subunit ribosomal RNA
Source: RNAcentral